This 355-nucleotide transfer-messenger RNA is filed under the name Bryobacteraceae. Its description in RNAcentral is "Bog-105 sp019233375 Standard tmRNA". It matches the Rfam family "transfer-messenger RNA". From Rfam's summary of the family: Bacterial tmRNA, also known as 10Sa RNA or SsrA, is named for its dual tRNA and mRNA-like properties. Its role is to liberate the mRNA from a stalled ribosome. Lineage: Bacteria; Pseudomonadati; Acidobacteriota; Terriglobia; Bryobacterales. RNAcentral also lists the same sequence under 1 other name. The record is from RNAcentral.
GGGGGCGCAACGGUUUCGACGGGAUUGGACUGUUGUGUGAAGGCGUGUCGGGUUCCGAGCUCCCGUAAAACGAUCGGAAAACAACAACUGCCAAUAAUCAGCAGUUUGCUUACGCUGCUUAAUUAACUGAGUAGCCGCUCCGGCUGGUGAGCCUGCGCGCCAGCCAGUGAGCGUCAUUUUGCAGGAUAGGUACCAGGUUUCGGUCCGGAGCCAUGGGCUGACAUCAAUCGGACUAGGCGACUUUCGCUCUUGCCGGUUUUAUAGGAAGCCGCCGAAUAUACAGAACCGGCUACACACGUAGGCUUUGCAUUGCAGACUUUUUCGGACGCGGGUUCAACUCCCGCCGCCUCCAUAA